GAUGAAGAACGUAGCGAAAUGCGAUAAGUAAUGUGAAUUGCAGAAUUCAGUGAAUCAUCGAAUCUUUGAACGCACAUUGCGCCCGGUAGUAUACUGCCGGGCAUGCCUGUUCGAGCGUCAUUUCAACCAUCAAGCCCCAGCGCUUGUGUUGGGGGCCUGCGGCUGCCGCAGCCCCCUAAAAGCAGUGGCGGGCUCGCUAUCACACCGAGUGCAGUAGUUCAUCUUCUCUCCGGUCUUGUGAGGCGGGUUCCGGCCGUGAAACACCCCACUACAUUCAAGGUUGACCUCGGAUCAGGUAGGAAUACCCGCUGAACUUAAGCAUAUCAAUAAGCGGAGGA
RNAcentral lists this unclassified non-coding RNA (338 nucleotides) under soil metagenome. RNAcentral's name for it is "partial contains 5.8S ribosomal RNA, internal transcribed spacer 2, and large subunit ribosomal RNA". The stretch from base 1 to 120 matches the Rfam family "5.8S ribosomal RNA", at positions 35 to 154 of the family's 154-position model. The record is from RNAcentral.